Molecule: ribosomal RNA, 200 nt
Filed under: uncultured bacterium
Lineage: Bacteria
Description: partial 16S ribosomal RNA
Rfam family: Bacterial small subunit ribosomal RNA
Source: RNAcentral
UACGAAGGGGGCUAGCGUUGCUCGGAAUCACUGGGCGUAAAGGGUGCGUAGGCGGGUUUUUAAGUCAGAGGUGAAAUCCUGGAGCUCAACUCCAGAACUGCCUUUGAUACUGAAAGUCUUGAGUAUGGGAGAGGUGAGUGGAACUGCGAGUGUAGAGGUGAAAUUCGUAGAUAUUCGCAAGAACACCAGUGGCGAAGGCG